This 357-nucleotide RNase P RNA is filed under the name Cytophagaceae bacterium. RNAcentral describes it as "RNase P RNA component class A". It matches the Rfam family "Bacterial RNase P class A". From Rfam's summary of the family: Ribonuclease P (RNase P) is a ubiquitous endoribonuclease, found in archaea, bacteria and eukarya as well as chloroplasts and mitochondria. Its best characterised activity is the generation of mature 5'-ends of tRNAs by cleaving the 5'-leader elements of precursor-tRNAs. The record is from RNAcentral. Lineage: Bacteria; Pseudomonadati; Bacteroidota; Cytophagia; Cytophagales; Cytophagaceae.
AAAAUAAACCAUCUUAUCGCUUUUUAAAGAGGAAAGUCCGAACAACACAGAGCGCCGUGCUUCUUAACAGGAAGGGGGAUCGUAAGGUUCUACAGCUAGUGCCACAGAAAAUUACCGCCUUUCGGGGUAAGGGUGAAAAGGUGGGGUAAGAGCCCACCGCUAAUUUGGUGACAAGUUAGGCAUAGGUAAACCUCACGGGUUGCAAGAUCAAAUAGGCUGACUGUCGCAAGACAAAAGGGUUGCUCGUCCGAUGUCAGUGGGUAGAUUGCUCGAGCGAAUGCGUGAGUAUUCGUCAAGAUAAAUGAUAAGAGGGCAUGCAAAUGCUUACAGAAUUCGGCUUAUCGGUUUAUUUUCUCA